This 78-nucleotide transfer RNA is filed under the name Streptomyces sp. M56. RNAcentral describes it as "tRNA-Arg". The record is from RNAcentral. Lineage: Bacteria; Bacillati; Actinomycetota; Actinomycetes; Kitasatosporales; Streptomycetaceae.
GCCGCUGCUGUGGCGGCGGCGCAGGCCCAUGGUGGCCUUCGGAGCCAUCGCGGCCGUGUUCGUCACGCAGUGGUCGCU